ACACUGUACAAUGGAUUUCUCGGCUCCCGCAUC
RNAcentral lists this ribosomal RNA (33 nucleotides) under Chamaedoris delphinii. Its description in RNAcentral is "5.8S ribosomal RNA". Lineage: Eukaryota; Viridiplantae; Chlorophyta; Ulvophyceae; Cladophorales; Boodleaceae. The record is from RNAcentral.